RNAcentral lists this non-coding RNA (45 nucleotides) under Schistosoma mansoni. The record is from RNAcentral. Lineage: Eukaryota; Metazoa; Platyhelminthes; Trematoda; Strigeidida; Schistosomatidae.
AUCCAGCUGCCGAGUCUCGAGUAGGACAAAACGCGCGUCCUGGAU